CAGGCCUAACACAUGCAAGUCGAACGAGAUCUUCGGAUCUAGUGGCGCACGGGUGCGUAACGCGUGGGAAUCUGCCCCUUGGUUCGGAAUAACUUCGGGAAACUGAAGCUAAUACCGGAUGAUGACGUAAGUCCAAAGAUUUAUCGCCCAAGGAUGAGCCCGCGUAGGAUUAGCUAGUUGGUGAGGUAAGAGCUCACCAAGGCGACGAUCCUUAGCUGGUCUGAGAGGAUGAUCAGCCACACUGGGACUGAGACACGGCCCAGACUCCUACGGGAGGCAGCAGUGGGGAAUAUUGGACAAUGGGCGAAAGCCUGAUCCAGCAAUGCCGCGUGAGUGAUGAAGGCCUUAGGGUUGUAAAGCUCUUUUACCNCGGGAUGAUAAUGACAGUACCGGGAGAAUAAGCUCCGGCUAACUCCGUGCCAGCAGCCGCGGUAAU
Molecule: ribosomal RNA, 436 nt
Filed under: uncultured bacterium
Lineage: Bacteria
Description: bacterial SSU rRNA
Rfam family: Bacterial small subunit ribosomal RNA
Source: RNAcentral